UUGCUAAUCGGCUCGACAAACUAAAACCUCAGUCAGAGAAAACAAGAAUCAUGAACUUUCUGAUUCAAUUCACAGAGGUUUGAAUGGAGAACAAUGAGGAACAUGAAAAUCAUCUGUUGCAGAUUUCUCACAUUUAAAUGUUCCAGAUCACUGAACUAAUAUUUAUAUUAGCUGAAUAUCAGAGAUAACCCACAAACUUGUAUCACUCUGUGAAAAAGUAACUGACCCACUGAACCUAAUAACUUAUUUAGCAGCAACAACUGCAGUUAAAUGUUUGUUCCAGCUUGUGAUCAGUCUUUUCCAUCACCAUGGAGGAAUUCUGCUCCACUCUUCUCUGCAGAAUAGUUUGAAUUCAGUCACAUUAGAUGGUUUUAGAUCAUGAACUGUCCUUUUAAGGUCUUGUCACAGAAUCUCAAUUAGAUUCAAGUCCAGACUUUGACUCCAGAACCUUCAUUUAGUUCUUUCUGAGCCACUCAGAGGUGGACUUGCUGGUGGUCUUUGGGUCUUUGUCUUGCUGCAUAAACCAUUAGUGUUGAGCUUUAGGUCAUGGACUGAUGCUGGAUGUUCUCCAGGAGGAUUUUCUGAUAGAGAGCAGAAUUCAUGGCUCCAUCAGUGAUGACAAGUCGUCCAGGUCCUCCAACCAUCACACUA
Molecule: long non-coding RNA, 651 nt
Organism: Acanthochromis polyacanthus (spiny chromis)
Lineage: Eukaryota; Metazoa; Chordata; Actinopteri; Pomacentridae
Exons: 3
Source: RefSeq, a predicted model, not a curated record